Taeniopygia guttata (zebra finch) is the source of this 3566-nucleotide long non-coding RNA. RefSeq lists it as uncharacterized. NCBI's taxonomy places the organism in Eukaryota, Metazoa, Chordata, Aves, Passeriformes, Estrildidae. The record is from RefSeq and is a predicted model, not a curated record.
GAAGGAAGGCAGAGGAGGGCAGCUGAGAACAGGCAAGACUGGGUGAGGCUAGGUGAGGCUAGGUGAGGCAGAUGCCUCAUCCUGCCCGUGGCCUCUUUCCCCCCAGGGCCACGCUGGUAUAAAUCCUCUCUCUCCAUGUCUCCUGCAGCUCCUUCAGGCACUGUGAGGCCACGCUGAGGGCGCCCCAAAGGCUCUCCUGCCCAGGUGCAGGUGGUGUUUGUGUGAUGCUCCAGCCCCGAGCUCCGUGUCCUGCCCCCCGGAAUGUGGGAGCCAGAGAGCAGCUGGGAGAAGAGAAAUUACCAAAGCCUGAUCCAUAGUGACAGUUCCACCAGGUUCAUCUUCAUCCUGGGGCUCGUGGGACCUCUCCUAUGUCAGUUAAGUUGCAAAGGUUUUAUUUUUCUUUGAGGAUUUGUGGGAGCAGGCUCUGUAUUGGGCAGUGGCUCCUGCUCUGAUCUCCACUGGAAUGAUGCAGCAGGCUGGGGCAGUGCCCUGGUUAAGUGCCUGGUGAUUUUUCCCCCUGGGAAUGUCUGGGAGAAGACUGAGAAGUCUGCUCUGAUAUCUCAAUUUACAGGAGUGACACUAAACCUCUCCUUAUACAAUCCUUCAUUUUGUAUUCACCUUUUAAACAAAGGUAUUGACAUAAAAUUGGUCACUCCAUUGUUUAAAGGAGGGAGUUUUAAUGAGUGUUAUCUUAGUUCUGCAGGGCUCUAGCCUUUAAAUAAAAAGAAUCUUUUUCACUCAUCAUUUAUCAGCAAUGAAUAUUUAAUGUAGUCCUGCUGCCUAAGGAAGAAUUUGUAUGAAAGGGAUGAAAAGAAACAUUUAUUUUAAAAAAACAAGAUAUUUACUCCUCAAAGCUGAGUCACUGAAUUUAUGGGCCAAGAAGUUGUCUCAAAGACACAAAUGUCUUUAGUUUAUUUUUUAUAUUGAAUCACAAACAAUUUUGAGUGGCAGGAUGACUGUUUGCACAGGCAGGGAGCUUUUAUAAAUGUGCAGCCAGGAUGUUCUGAAGUUCAAUUGCUGCCUGGAAAGAAUAUCCAAUACAGGAAUAACCCAAAUUUCUCACACAAUUCUCUCUGAUCCCAGUUCUGCAUCCCCAGGUGCUGAAGGCAGCACAGCUCAGUGCCCCAGGCCUGACUGGGGGUAAUUCAGUGCUGAGAAUUUAAUGCUGCUCAGUGCCUCUGGUGUCAAGGCUGGAAUUCCAAUCUGCCCUGGAUUCAGAGAUUUCCUUGGGAUUUUGGCUUGAAAAAGCUCUGGAAGCAUUGAUAUGAUUUCUUUUCAUUUUCCCAAGCAAUCUGCCUGCUUUCAGCACCACAGCUGUUCCCAGGCAUAGCUGCCACCUGAUGGAAUAACCCUGGGCUGGAAUAUCAAAGGGGGAGCUGUGGAAUACAUUGAAAUGCCAGACUGCAAAAAGAAUAAUUUUGCCUGGGAAACUCAUGGAAUUGCUGAGAAUGCCAAGGAAACUCUGCUACAUCUAAGUAGAUUUGUUCAGACCUGGGGCUGUGGUGCUGCAGAAAUAACAUUUACCAGCUUGGCAAAUGUUUUGUGCUUGGAUCCACAGAAAUCCAGAGCUGCUUUGCCAAUGCCCUCCUGCAGAGUCAUGGAAUUACUGAGGGGAACAGGGGGCAGAGAAAUAGAAACAGAAACAGCGGUGAUGCAGAUGUGAGGGUGUGAUUUGGGUUACUGGGGCAAACAGGAGGUGUGAGAAGGAGAAGCUGAGGAAGAAGCCUGUCCUUGCAGGAAGGGGAGCUCUCUCAGCUGGACAGCCCAGGGACAAGUGGAGAGCUUGGAAAACAUCAGCACCUUUUGGAUUCUACAGUUUGCCUCUCCCAGGAAUUGAUUUCAUACCACUGGGUGCUUUCUAAAGGGCUUUUAAAAGCAUUUCACUGAAUUUUGUGUCUUCAAGACACAAAGCAAAAAAUUCCUGCUAUGAAGAGUGCAGCUCACAGCUCCUUAGGAAUUCUUUCCCCUCUGCUGCAGUUGAGAGCAGCUGCAUUGUGCAUGUCAGGAAAGGGACUUUUCCCACCUGUCCUAGUGAGCAAUGCUUGAAUCAUGCCUGACAUCCUCAAUUGGCUCUGCACUGAUACAUAGAGAUAAAAAUACAGGGCUUGGACAGGACUGCAUCAUAAAUUUAAAAAGAAAAAUCAGGGACAAGGGAUAAACCAGGCUAUUCCUAGUCAGCAAAGCAAAGGGAAAAUACUCCCAGUGGAAAUGUAUUUGGAUCCUGGGUGCUGUGGAUCCCUCUGUCCCCCUUUUUCAGCUAGAGGGUUUCUGACAGAAACAGGAUUCCAGCAGUUUUCUGGCACUGCCAAGAGCUCACCCCUGCAGCUCUUCCUGCCCUCGGCUCUGGGUGCCAGUGCCCCCAAACUGGGGGUGUUGGGGUGACAACCUGGGCUGGGCUGGGCUGGGGUCCCCAGCUCUGGUUUGUCCCCAGCUCUGGCUUUGUCUCCAGCUCUGGUUUGUCCCCAGCUCUGGCUUUGUCUCCAGCACUGCUUUAUCCCCCAGCUCUGGCUUGUCCCCCAGUUCUGGGUUUGUCCCCAGCACUGGUUUGGUCCCCAGAACUGGUUUGUCCCCAGCACUGGUUUGGUCCCCAGAACUGGUUGGUCCCCAGCUCUUGUUGGUCCCCAGCACUGAGUUUGUCCCCCAGUUCUGCUUUGUCCCUAGCUCUGAGUUUGUCCCCAGCUCUGGUUUGUCCCCAGCACUGGUUUGUCCCCAGCACUGGUUUGUCCCCAGCCCUGGUGCUGUGCUGGAGGCUCCAGCCUGUCACCCACUGGCUGCCUUGGCACAGUUUACACAGGAGAUAAAAUCGUAUCCUGGCAAGCAAUCAGUUCUCCCUCAGAUGGUUUAACAGCCUCUCACUAAAGCUCCCAGAGAGCCCAGGAGAUUUGAAACAACUCCUCAAAGGGAAAGCUGACACUUUUAUGGGAGCUGGUUGGUGUGUCCCUUUGUUCCUGCCGUGUUUUUGCUGGGCUGCUCCACACCUGAGCUGGGUGAGGAGUGUCAGUCCUGGCUCCAGCCACCCACACACAUGAUCUGCUGUCUUCACAGCUGCUUUUUUUCCUUCAGUAAUUCAAAAUCAAGGAGGGCAUCUGCUUUAUCAGGGGAUCAUGACCUACUGUUACAAAUCUCAAACUGCUACAUAUGGUGGAAAUACUUUUCUAUCCACAGCUGGGUAUUUUUGCUUGUUUUAUGUUAUUAACUUCCUUUAGGAGCCAGCACAAGGACUUAACUUCAGUAGUCAAAGAGAACUUUACUCACGGUUUUCCUUCUGUUUUUUACAUCCUUAAUGUGACCUUUAUGCAAGUCUUGAGUCAUAAAGAUUUUAAAAUUCAGUAUAAUAAGCUAGAGAUGACAAAGUUGCCCUGCAGUAGCUGAAGCAGUAAAGAUUCUUAAUAAUAGACAAAAAUUAUAGCUUUAUAAUACUCCACCAGGACCAGGCUGCUGAAGUCAGUUUAGUUUUCUACAACAAUCUCUAAAAAUAUUCGCUUACCACUCAAUCAGAAAUGUUUUGGUUCGGUAACUAAGUAAACACAAAUACAGAACAUUAAUAAAGGCUUUUUCUCCCCUUU